UGCUGGAGGUAUCAGAAGUGCGAAUGCUGACAUAAGUAACGAUAAAGCGGGUGAAAAGCCCGCUCGCCGGAAGACCAAGGGUUCCUGUCCAACGUUAAUCGGGGCAGGGUGAGUCGACCCCUAAGGCGAGGCCGAAAGGCGUAGUCGAUGGGAAACGGGUUAAUAUUCCCGUACUUGGUGUUACUGCGAAGGGGGGACGGAGAAGGCUAUGUUGGCCGGGCGACGGUUGUCCCGGUUUAAGCGUGUAGGUGUGUGUUCCAGGUAAAUCCGGUUCACUUUAACACUGAGGCGUGAYGACGAGGCACUACGGUGCUGAAGCAACAAAUGCCCUGCUUCCAGGAAAAGCCUCUAAGCAUCAGGUAACAUCAAAUCGUACCCCAAACCGACACAGGUGGUCAGGUAGAGAAUACCAAGGCGCUUGAGAGAACUCGGGUGAAGGAACUAGGCAAAAUGGUGCCGUAACUUCGGGAGAAGGCACGCUGACACGUAGGUGAAGUGAUUUACUCA
RNAcentral lists this ribosomal RNA (507 nucleotides) under Salmonella enterica. Its description in RNAcentral is "partial 23S ribosomal RNA". The record is from RNAcentral. Lineage: Bacteria; Pseudomonadati; Pseudomonadota; Gammaproteobacteria; Enterobacterales; Enterobacteriaceae.